GAUCAUGGCUCAGGAUGAACGCUAGCUACAGGCUUAACACAUGCAAGUCGAGGGGCAGCGGGAUUGAAGCUUGCUUCAAUUGCCGGCGACCGGCGCACGGGUGAGUAACGCGUAUCCAACCUUCCGUACACUCAGGGAUAGCCUUUCGAAAGAAAGAUUAAUACCUGAUGGUAUGAUGAGAUUGCAUGAUAACAUCAAUUAAAGUAUUUAGUCGGGUGUACGAGUGGGAUGUCCG
RNAcentral lists this ribosomal RNA (235 nucleotides) under uncultured bacterium. RNAcentral describes it as "partial 16S ribosomal RNA". It matches the Rfam family "Bacterial small subunit ribosomal RNA", at positions 15 to 237 of the family's 1533-position model. The record is from RNAcentral.